UGUGCCUCCUAAACUUUUCCACUACGCUUCUAGCAUCGAACUAUCCGCAGCCCAGUCGAACAUUAGUCGAACUGUGCUCAACCAUUUGACAAAGGUCUAAACAACAUCUAGCUGCGACAGCUCUCCAGUAUCAGUUCUGGCUCUCCGUAUAUCAACUCCCUUCCACUCCGGUUUAAACCCCCAACCCCAUCCCGUAUGCCACAAGCAAACUUUCCCACAAGGGUAUUAGACCCCUUCCAGUUCAUCGCAAACCAUCUUUUCUACUCAGGUCUCAAAUUGCCAGGGGCGGGGUCCAGUCACCGUUCGCUGUCACUCUCUCUAUAAGAGGAACGGACACUGAAUGAUCAUGGUGUUUAGAAAGGAGAAUGUCUCCGACUGAUUUAUUUGAAGAAAUGGUUUAAGACUCGCAGACAGUUAGGAAACAACUGUGGGCGACGACUGUCCAAACGGUUGAACCGGAUUUCAGCAGAAAGGCCGCUCCCUGUUCUGAGAAAUGCGUACGUGGAGGAACCUGGCCAACAUACAGGGCCGCAGCUUGCACAGAGACAAGGAGCUCUGAGUUUCACAGAAACGCACCCGGCGACGACCUGCACUUAGGAAGAUCUUCUGAUUCAGAAACCCAGAGCAACACUCACAAAACUCUGAAGAAGCACAGAACAGCACAAAACAGUAAACAGUCGACAUUUCGAGCCGAGAGCUUUCAUCAGGAAUUAACCUUAUUCCUAACCCACAACUCCUAAACCAGCCAAAUAUUCCUCUGCUCAUUGUUUGAAAUGAAGGGUGAAGGCCACUACUUGGAAAUAUGCCCACAAGGAAAUAGAACAUUGUUAAUAUUUUUUCCGGCUUUUCAUUUCCAACCAGACUAUAGCCUGCGGUUUGUAUCAGUGAUCAAGAAAUCAGUAGCUCAGUGAUAAACUUCUUCUCGCAAUGCUUGUGUUUGUAUCCCUGAGGUUGUGUUCAUAUGCUGGGAUUUUUCCACACUUUAUAUCAAGAUUAGGAACUGUUCUAGAAUCAGAAAUAAACGUUUCAUGCGACGGCUGUACAGCCCUAUCCUGCACGAUUUUCAAAAUACGUUACUUCAGGUCUGGAUGAUUGAUAAACACCGGGGUGGAGAGCUAUAAGACCCAACGACAGCGCAGCAGAAAGAGGCUGUUUGGUCCAUUGAGUCUGCUCCGCCGGUUCAUCAUGGCUGAUUCAACAUUUUAUUUGAGGCCCAAACUCCUCCCUACUGCUCGCAUCCCGUCAGUAAAUUAGGAUUAGUAAGUACUGGUACUAUGAUAAGUGGCAUUGUGGUUAAUGAAGUAGGUUCCCAAAGCUUGCAGAGAGACUUAGGCCAAUUAGACGAGUGGG
Hypanus sabinus (Atlantic stingray) is the source of this 1350-nucleotide long non-coding RNA. RefSeq lists it as uncharacterized. The transcript is spliced from 3 exons. NCBI's taxonomy places the organism in Eukaryota, Metazoa, Chordata, Chondrichthyes, Myliobatiformes, Dasyatidae. The record is from RefSeq and is a predicted model, not a curated record.